Non-coding RNA from Trichobilharzia regenti, 46 nucleotides. The record is from Rfam. NCBI's taxonomy places the organism in Eukaryota, Metazoa, Platyhelminthes, Trematoda, Strigeidida, Schistosomatidae.
GUACUGAUGAAGUGUCUCAAACUAGAACGAAACGGCUGUCCAGUAC